RNAcentral lists this unclassified non-coding RNA (295 nucleotides) under uncultured Glomeromycetes. RNAcentral describes it as "sequence contains ITS2". Lineage: Eukaryota; Fungi; Glomeromycota; Glomeromycetes. The record is from RNAcentral.
AACGCAAAUUGCACUCUCUGGUAACCCGGGGAGUAUGCCUGUUUGAGGGUCAGUGUUAAUAAAAAUCGGUGCGUUGCAAUUUUUGUGAUGUUCCGGAGUUUGAGUUAUCUUUAUCUUCUGGGUUUAAGAGGCUUAAAAUUGACCUUCUUUGUGCAUUUUAGACGUACAUAAAUUUUUUUUUAUUCGUUUAUCUUAAUGCCAAAAUCUAUUAGAUGCGACCAUAUCGUGUGGUUCCGUGUCUAUAAAUUUUUCAUGAUUUGACCUCAAAUCAGGUAGGAACACCCGCUGAACUUAA